GAUCAUGGCUCAGGAUGAACGCUAGCUACAGGCUUAACACAUGCAAGUCGAGGGGCAGCAUUAAGUUAGCUUGCUAACUUAGAUGGCGACCGGCGCACGGGUGAGUAACGCGUAUCCAACCUUCCCCUUACUCAGGGAUAGCCCGGUGAAAACCGGAUUAACACCUGAUAGUUUCACUAGAUGGCAUCUGACGGUGAAUAAAGCUUUGCGGUAAGGGAUGGGGAUGCGUCUGAUUAGCUUGUUGGCGGGUAACGGCCCACCAAGGCAACGAUCAGUAGGGGUUCUGAGAGGAAGGUCCCCCCACACUGGCACUGAGACACGGGCCAGACUCCUACGGGAGGCAGCAGUGAGGAAUAUUGGUCAAUGGCCGAGAGGCUGAACCAGCCAAGUAAGCGUGCAGGACGACGGCCCUACGGGUUGUAAACUGCUUUUGCGGGAGGAUAAAGGACACUACGUGUAGUGUUUUGCAGGUAUCCCGUGAAUAAGGACCGGCUAAUUCCGUGCCAGCCGCCGC
Molecule: ribosomal RNA, 514 nt
Filed under: uncultured bacterium
Lineage: Bacteria
Description: bacterial SSU rRNA
Rfam family: Bacterial small subunit ribosomal RNA
Source: RNAcentral